RNAcentral lists this non-coding RNA (27 nucleotides) under Bombyx mori (domestic silkworm). The record is from RNAcentral. Lineage: Eukaryota; Metazoa; Arthropoda; Insecta; Lepidoptera; Bombycidae.
GAGUUCUGAUUGGGCGGCCAAAAUUGC